UAACGUUUCAUCCUUCAUCCCCAUCUCCAUCUCACGGUGUGUACCCUCAAUCCCCGGAAUAGAACGAUCCCUAUUUGCUUAUACUACUAACGAUAUUUCAGGGUUAAAUUAUGCGCUUGCUUUGAGCGCGUCAUUAACCUUCAGGACUCCAACAUCUAGGCUUCGGUUACGGUUGGUUCCGUACUAAAAAUCUUGGAACCAAAACUGGAACUAGCCUUUUUAGAUCGGUUUGGUUUGCCACUUUCAGAGACCAAAACUGAUCAGAAACCGAACUGAUCAUAAUCGGUUUAGCUUUGUUGGUUUUUCGAUUCCCUUACUCUGUAACGUAUAGCUCGAAGAACAGUUUUCUGAGUUCACUGUACUUUUUCAUUCAUAAUAGUUUUUUUCUU
Molecule: long non-coding RNA, 389 nt
Organism: Rosa chinensis
Lineage: Eukaryota; Viridiplantae; Streptophyta; Magnoliopsida; Rosales; Rosaceae
Exons: 2
Source: RefSeq, a predicted model, not a curated record